GCCAGUGUGGCAUAGUGGUUUGAGUGGUAGACUACAACUCUGGAGACCAGGGUUCAAUUCCCUGCUCAGGAA
Phrynosoma platyrhinos (Desert horned lizard) is the source of this 72-nucleotide non-coding RNA. The record is from the annotation of a GenBank genome assembly. Lineage: Eukaryota; Metazoa; Chordata; Lepidosauria; Squamata; Phrynosomatidae.